RNAcentral lists this ribosomal RNA (523 nucleotides) under uncultured bacterium. RNAcentral describes it as "bacterial SSU rRNA". It matches the Rfam family "Bacterial small subunit ribosomal RNA", at positions 524 to 1050 of the family's 1533-position model. The record is from RNAcentral.
UACGGAGGAUCCGAGCGUUAUCCGGAUUUAUUGGGUUUAAAGGGUGCGUAGGUGGUUUGAUAAGUCAGCGGUGAAAGUUUGCAGCUUAACUGUAAAAAUGCCGUUGAAACUGUCGGACUUGAGUGUAAAUGAGGUAGGCGGAAUGCGUGGUGUAGCGGUGAAAUGCAUAGAUAUCACGCAGAACUCCGAUUGCGAAGGCAGCUUACUAAGCUACAACUGACACUGAAGCACGAAAGCGUGGGGAUCAAACAGGAUUAGAUACCCUGGUAGUCCACGCAGUAAACGAUGAUUACUAGCUGUUUGCGAUACACAGUAAGCGGCACAGCGAAAGCGUUAAGUAAUCCACCUGGGGAGUACGCCGGCAACGGUGAAACUCAAAGGAAUUGACGGGGGCCCGCACAAGCGGAGGAACAUGUGGUUUAAUUCGAUGAUACGCGAGGAACCUUACCCGGGUUUGAACGUAGGGAGACAGGGGUGGAAACAUCCUUUUCAGCAAUGACUGCCUACGAGGUGCUGCAUGGUU